UGGAAACUCUGCAGACGAGCAGCAGACGGUCGAGUCUGCGGCCUCCAGCUGCUCCAGAAACAGCGAGUGGCAAACAUAUCUGCAGAGCGAUGACGACAAACACACCAGAAGACUGAAGUUUUUUGGAGCCGUGUACCUGCAGUUCAAUCACUCCAAAGAGCUGGUCGAUGUAGACUACAGUUUGGAAACUUCAUUUGCAAAACUCGUGUGUGCGAGGACAAACAGUAAGGGAUACCCUCCAGCUUUCUAGAUCCAACCGUGAACCUUACAGUUAUGAUGCUGUCAACUUAUAAAGAAUCCAUGAAGAGAGGCCACUUGAUGGGAAACUUCAGAUUCAAAUAUAACUGAUAUCAUUAUAUUUACAGUGUAAAUUAUACUUUUAUCAAGUAUGUCGUCAACUAUAUAAAACUGCAUUAUCAGUCAUUGGUUUUUGUCCAGUUUCAAUGAUCAGAAUCUAAUUUGAAAACAUACAUUUCCGUUUUAAUUCCGUCUGAUCACUGAAACUCAACCUGAUGAGUUUUCACUGUUGACAGGACCAACAUUUAGUCAGAAGCAACAUCAUAUUUUGUUAUUUAUGAGCCCUGAAAGGUAUUUUUAUGACAAGCAGAUGACAAGGGAACAUUUUACUAUAUAUCAAACAGAUUUUGUUUAAUAUGUUUUCUCUUUUUUCUGUAUUGUUCUCAGAUUGUUUGUUCUCUUAUUGGGUUUUUGGGUGGGGAAUUAUAGGUAUGUCUAUAGACUGUUAUAUAGCUGUAUGUACAUAUUGUUUGUGUUUAUUAGUCAAACGCUUGUCUGACCCAACUGACAGUUAUUUGGUUUUGUUUUAGGAAAAAUGGUGAAUAUUUAAGGAUUUGUCUUGCAGGUCAUAUUUGAGACUAGGGGCCUGUUUCACAAAGAUAUUUUAGACUUGUCAGUCUUCAUUUUUCUCAGAUUAGUCUAAUAUAAGUUAGACAGAUUCACAAAAAGAAAGACAGACUUAUUUUAAGCCUAAAAGGUUAGCUACCCCAAGACCUAUGUUUCCAUGGUGACUGGUAGCACAAAAUAGAGGAAAAAUGGCUCUAAAUUUGUAUUUUUCUCACAAUGUUGUGGAGCAAGUCACAAGAAAGCAAAGAGUUUUUACAUAGAUGGUAAAAUGUCCCAAUAACUGUUGGAUUUGUUAAGACAACAACCAUUUUCUGCUGCAGUGUAGGGAGCCGAGAGAUUUUAAGCAGUUAUUCAGUCGCUGCGUUUUUUUUAGCUUGAAAAAACUCUUAAUUUAAACAUUAUGCAUUGCAAAUUGGUCCAACUUAAGAUAGCGAGGAACUAGACAGAUGAAUUUAAGCUAAACCAUAGUCCUCAUGAUCUAAAGAUUAUCUUUGUCUACAGUAUUUUUGUGAAACUGGAUGCUGUUAUGAUCAGGAACUUAGAAAUACUGAGGUCACGAUCAUGAUUGUUCCUCUAAAACGCCAGAAAAUCUUCAGGGCUGAUUUCUUGUCAUGGAAAAGUCUUGAAAAAUUACAAAAUUGUCCAAAAUAUUCCUGAAAACAAAACACUGUCCUGAAAAAAUUUCGUAAUGUACAAUAAACAUGAUCAGGCAGCCACA
Thunnus maccoyii (southern bluefin tuna) is the source of this 1582-nucleotide long non-coding RNA. RefSeq lists it as uncharacterized. Lineage: Eukaryota; Metazoa; Chordata; Actinopteri; Scombriformes; Scombridae. The transcript is spliced from 4 exons. The record is from RefSeq and is a predicted model, not a curated record.